AUUGAACGCUGGCGGCAGGCCUAACACAUGCAAGUCGAGCGGAUGAAGGGAGCUUGCUCCUGGAUUCAGCGGCGGACGGGUGAGUAAUGCCUAGGAAUCUGCCUGGUAGUGGGGGAUAACGUCCGGAAACGGGCGCUAAUACCGCAUACGUCCUGAGGGAGAAAGUGGGGAUCUUCGGACCUCACGCUAUCAGAUGAGCCUAGGUCGGAUUAGCUAGUUGGUGGGGUAAAGGCCUACCAAGGCGACGAUCCGUAACUGGUCUGAGAGGAUGAUCAGUCACACUGGAACUGAGACACGGUCCAGACUCCUACGGGAGGCAGCAGUGGGGAAUAUUGGACAAUGGGCGAAAGCCUGAUCCAGCCAUGCCGCGUGUGUGAAGAAGGUCUUCGGAUUGUAAAGCACUUUAAGUUGGGGGGAAGGGCAGUAAGUUAAUACCUUGCUGUUUUGACGUUACCAACAGAAUAAGCACCGGCUAACUUCGUG
RNAcentral lists this ribosomal RNA (483 nucleotides) under uncultured bacterium. RNAcentral's name for it is "partial 16S ribosomal RNA". It matches the Rfam family "Bacterial small subunit ribosomal RNA", at positions 30 to 507 of the family's 1533-position model. The record is from RNAcentral.